Molecule: non-coding RNA, 77 nt
Organism: Ataeniobius toweri
Lineage: Eukaryota; Metazoa; Chordata; Actinopteri; Cyprinodontiformes; Goodeidae
Source: the annotation of a GenBank genome assembly
GCCUGCACAGUGGUGCAGCUGGUAGCACCAUUGCCCUGUAGGAAGAAGGUCCUGGGUUCAAAUCCCUGGCUGAGGUU